CAACGUCAUUGACCUGCUGCAGCGGUCAAAAAAUCCCACAGUUCCUACGUCUGUAAAAUAUGCAACAACAUAAAGAAAAAAAGCAUACAGAGAAAGCCUUCAUCACCACAUUGCACACGACAAGCCCGCGUGGAGCACUCGCGGCAGGAGGGGAGAAAUUCUCAUGCGGUAACGUGGUACAAAAAGGAGGAUCCUACGGAAAACAGCAGAAGCAGCUCCCACAGACAGUUCAACACAGGCCAUGUUUCAGGAAAAGAUGUCGGCUUGGAGUUCCAGUUAAAUCCAGGUUCGUGUUUCUAUGAAUCGGCUGAAGGAGAAAGCUGGAGUGUUCAUCGAACAGCGGGCAAACAGGACGCAAAAACUCACAACAACUCAGGCUUCCUCUACAUGACAAUUCUUCAGGCAUUGCAUCACUUCCUGCCACUCGUGUUGUCUGACAGAGACGAUGUGGAUUACUCAGAGCGCGGUGACCCGACCCCGUGGGGACUGACCGCACGAAUCGCUCUGGCAAACGUGACGAUACGCAGCAGGAAGCAGAGCGUUGGAGCGUCAGCACUCGAUGAUUUGUCGUGCGGAUAUUUGCGUCCGGCGCACAUUUCCUCCCCACCCUCGUGGAAGCUCUGUUGCGUUAUUAUCCGCGGACCAUUACACUUUCGCCGUGUUGCCACAGCAACGCAGGGAC
Long non-coding RNA from Ictalurus punctatus (channel catfish), 682 nucleotides. RefSeq lists it as uncharacterized. The record is from RefSeq and is a predicted model, not a curated record. The transcript has 3 exons. Lineage: Eukaryota; Metazoa; Chordata; Actinopteri; Siluriformes; Ictaluridae.